RNAcentral lists this ribosomal RNA (1852 nucleotides) under Blautia massiliensis (ex Durand et al. 2017). RNAcentral describes it as "partial 23S ribosomal RNA". It matches the Rfam family "Bacterial large subunit ribosomal RNA", at positions 1 to 1890 of the family's 2925-position model. The record is from RNAcentral. Lineage: Bacteria; Bacillati; Bacillota; Clostridia; Lachnospirales; Lachnospiraceae.
GGUCAAGCAAUAAGGGCACAGGGCGGAUGCCUUGGCACUAAGAGCCGAUGAAAGACGUGAUAAGCUGCGAAAAGCUUCGGGGAGGAGCAAAUAUCCCGUGAUCCGGAGAUGUCUGAAUGGGGAAACCCGCAUGAGCAGACCUCAUGCAUCCAUACGCCAAUCCAUAACGUAUGGAAGGGAACCCGGGGAACUGAAACAUCUAAGUACCCGGAGGAAAAGAAAGAAACAUCGAUUCCGUAAGUAGCGGCGAGCGAACGCGGAGGAGCCUAAACCGGUGUGCGUGCAUGCCGGGGUCAUGGACUGCAUUUAAGAUUCAGCGAAGUUAACAGAACGGUUUUGGGAAAGCCGGCCGGAGAGGGUGAAAGCCCCGUACGUGAAAGCAGAGCUGACUGAGCAGGAUCCGGAGUACCACGAGACACGAGGAACCUUGUGGGAAGUAAGGGGGACCACCCCCUAAGGCUAAAUACUACUUAGUGACCGAUAGCGCAUAGUACUGUGAAGGAAAGGUGAAAAGGACCCCGGGAGGGGAGUGAAAGAGAACCUGAAACCCUGUGUCUACAAGCUGUGGAAGUACUUUAUAUGUACGACCGCGUACUUUUUGUAGAACGGUCCGGCGAGUUACGCUUACUGGCAAGGUUAAGCACUUCAGGUGUGGAGCCGUAGGGAAACCAAGUCUUAAUAGGGCCAGAGUCAGUAGGAGUAGACCCGAAACCGGGUGAUCUAUCCAUGUCCAGGUUGAAGCUGCCGUAAGAGGUAGUGGAGGACCGAACCCACAUCCGUUGAAAAGGGUGGGGAUGAGGUGUGGAUAGGGGAGAAAUUCCAAUCGAACCCGGAGAUAGCUGGUUCUCCUCGAAAUAGCUUUAGGGCUAGCCUCGGUGUGAGUCUUGCGGAGGUAGAGCACUGAAUUUCCUAGGGGGCGUCAAAGCCUACCGAAGAAUAUCAAACUCCGAAUGCCGUGUAGAUAUCACCGGGAGUCAGACUGCACGAGAUAAGUUGGGCGGUCAAAAGGGAAAGAGCCCAGACCUACAGUUAAGGUCCCAAAGUGCGCGUUAAGUGGAAAAGGAUGUGGGAUUUCGAAGACAACCAGGAUGUUGGCUCAGAAGCAGCCAUACAUUCAAAGAGUGCGUAAUAGCUCACUGGUCGAGAGGUCCUGCGCCGAAAAUGUCCGGGGCUGAAACGCGCCACCGAAACUAAGGAAUCUGAAAAGAUUGGUAGAGGAGCAUUGCAUGCGGGAAGAAGCAGUACCGGAAGGAGCUGUGGACUGCAUGGAAGAGAGAAUGCCGGAAUGAGUAGCGAGAUAGAGGUGGGAAUCCUCUAGGCCGAAUAUCCAAGGUUUCCAGGGUAAAGCUGAUCUGCCCUGGGUGAGUCGGGACCUAAGGUGAGGGCGAGAGCCGUAGCCGAUGGACAACAGGUUGAUAUUCCUGUACUGCAGUAUGACAGAACUGUGGGGACACGUAAGGAGAGCGGGAGCCGGGAAUGGAAAGCCCGGUACAAGCGAGGUACCAGUCACAUAGGAAAAUCCGUGUGGCAAUGGGAAGACGUGAUGUGGAGUGAAUUUUAGUAACGAAGCCCGUGAGCCAUGCGUCAAGAAAAGCCGCUAUCGUUCAUAUUGUACCCGUACCGUAAACCGACACAGGUGGAUGAGGAGAGAAUCCUAAGGCCGGCGGAAGAAGUAUUGCCAAGGAACUCGGCAAAAUGGCCCCGUAACUUAGGGAGAAGGGGUGCCUGCGAGAGCAGGCCGCAGAGAAUAGGCUCAAGCAACUGUUUAGCAAAAACACAGGUCUAUGCGAAACCGAAAGGUGAGGUAUAUGGGCUGACGCCUGCCCGGUGCUGGAAGGUUAAGAGGAGAGGU